Molecule: non-coding RNA, 134 nt
Organism: Populus trichocarpa (black cottonwood)
Lineage: Eukaryota; Viridiplantae; Streptophyta; Magnoliopsida; Malpighiales; Salicaceae
Source: Rfam
GUCAUUGGACGAUACAAUCACUUGUAUUCUUGCUGGACUUGGGCAUGAUUAUGACUCAUUAGCCACCACUAUUACAGCUCGACAGGAUUCAGUUACGUUGGAGGAAUUGUACUCAUUACUGCUGAUUAUUGAUU